Molecule: long non-coding RNA, 396 nt
Organism: Lutra lutra (Eurasian river otter)
Lineage: Eukaryota; Metazoa; Chordata; Mammalia; Carnivora; Mustelidae
Exons: 3
Source: RefSeq, a predicted model, not a curated record
GGGAUGGGGAAGUAGAUAGGGUAGGCUGGAAUGGUUGGGCAGGUUGGACACUGCACAAGGGGGCACAGAGUGAGCUCAAGCCAUGCUGGAAAAGAAACCUGGCACCACUCCUCUUGCUUCUGGGAUCAAAGACGGUCUGGCUCCAGCCUCCUCUGGACCCCAGGCUUGGCCUCCCCCCACCUCCAUCACUCCCAUCAUCUGAUGGAUUCUGGAACCGCUGGGAGCUUAGAGAAGAAGAAAGAUCAUCUGUCUAAAGGCAUCAACAUCGCUUGCCUUUAAAUUUUUUUUUUUAUUUUAAACCUUCCCACAAUUCAAAUGUUUCUCUUAUUAUCUUCUGCCGAGGGAAAAAAUUAAUAACACGGCGCAAUAUAAAACACUAAAUUAAAGGCAUUUUGG